Molecule: ribosomal RNA, 2912 nt
Filed under: Xenorhabdus cabanillasii
Lineage: Bacteria; Pseudomonadati; Pseudomonadota; Gammaproteobacteria; Enterobacterales; Morganellaceae
Description: bacterial LSU rRNA
Rfam family: Bacterial large subunit ribosomal RNA
Source: RNAcentral
GAGGUUAAGCGACUAAGCGUACACGGUGGAUGCCUAGGCAGUCAGAGGCGAUGAAGGACGUGCUAAUCUGCGAAAAGCGCCGGUGAGCUGAUAUGAAGCCCUAUCAGCCGGCGAUGUCCGAAUGGGGAAACCCAGUGCAAUCCGUUGCACUAUCAUUCACUGAAUCCAUAGGUGAAUGAGGCGAACCGGGGGAACUGAAACAUCUCAGUACCCCGAGGAAAAGAAAUCAACCGAGAUUCCCCCAGUAGCGGCGAGCGAACGGGGAGCAGCCCAGAGCCAUCAACAAUAUCAGCGCCAGGAGAACGGUCUGGAAAGGCCGGCAGUAAAGGGUGACAGCCCCGUAUCCGAAGGCGCCGGUGUUGCGAGCUCGAAGAGUAGGGCGGGACACGUGGUAUCCUGUCUGAACAUGGGGGGACCAUCCUCCAAGGCUAAAUACUCCUGACUGACCGAUAGUGAACCAGUACCGUGAGGGAAAGGCGAAAAGAACCCCGGCGAGGGGAGUGAAAGAGAACCUGAAACCGUGUACGUACAAGCAGUGGGAGCACCCUUUGGGGUGUGACUGCGUACCUUUUGUAUAAUGGGUCAGCGACUUAUAUUCUGUAGCAAGGUUAACCGUUUAGGGGAGCCGCAGGGAAACCGAGUCUUAACUGGGCGCUCAGUUGCAGGGUAUAGACCCGAAACCCGGUGAGCUAGCCAUGGGCAGGUUGAAGGUUGGGUAACACUAACUGGAGGACCGAACCGACUAAUGUUGAAAAAUUAGCGGAUGACUUGUGGCUGGGGGUGAAAGGCCAAUCAAACCGGGAGAUAGCUGGUUCUCCCCGAAAGCUAUUUAGGUAGCGCCUCGUGAAUUCAUCUCCGGGGGUAGAGCACUGUUUCGGCUAGGGGGUCAUCCCGACUUACCAACCCGAUGCAAACUGCGAAUACCGGAGAAUGUUAUCACGGGAGACACACGGCGGGUGCUAACGUCCGUCGUGGAGAGGGAAACAACCCAGACCGCCAGCUAAGGUCCCCAAGUCAUGGUUAAGUGGGAAACGAAGUGGGAAGGCUCAGACAGCCAGGAUGUUGGCUUAGAAGCAGCCAUCAUUUAAAGAAAGCGUAAUAGCUCACUGGUCGAGUCGGCCUGCGCGGAAGAUGUAACGGGGCUAAACCAUGCACCGAAGCUGCGGCAGCGAUAUGAAUAUAUUGCUGGGUAGGGGAGCGUUCUGUAAGCCGGUGAAGGCGGGUCGUGAGGCCUGCUGGAGGUAUCAGAAGUGCGAAUGCUGACAUAAGUAACGAUAAAGCGGGUGAAAAACCCGCUCGCCGGAAGACCAAGGGUUCCUGUCCAACGUUAAUCGGGGCAGGGUGAGUCGACCCCUAAGGCGAGGCCGAAAGGCGUAGUCGAUGGGAAACAGGUUAAUAGUCCUGUACUCGGUGUUACUGCGAAGGGGGGACGGAGAAGGCUAGGCCGGCCGGGCGACGGUAUGUCCCGGUUGAAGCGUGUAGGUGGGGUGACCUGGCAAAUCCGGUCAUCCAUAACACUGAGGCGUGAUAACGAGCCACUACGGUGGUGAAGUGGUUGAUGCCCUGCUUCCAGGAAAAGCCUCUAAGCAUCAGGUAACAUUGAAUCGUACCCCAAACCGACACAGGUGGUCAGGUAGAGAAUACUCAGGCGCUUGAGAGAACUCGGGUGAAGGAACUAGGCAAAAUGGUGCCGUAACUUCGGGAGAAGGCACGCUGGCGUUAGGUGAAGGGCCGUGCGCCCGGAGCUGAAGCCAGUCGCAGAGACCAGCUGGCUGCAACUGUUUAAUAAAAACACAGCACUGUGCCAACACGAAAGUGGACGUAUACGGUGUGACGCCUGCCCGGUGCUGGAAGGUUAAUUGAUGGGGUUAGCGGCAACGCGACGCUCCUGAUCGAAGCCCCAGUAAACGGCGGCCGUAACUAUAACGGUCCUAAGGUAGCGAAAUUCCUUGUCGGGUAAGUUCCGACCUGCACGAAUGGCGUAAUGAUGGCCAGGCUGUCUCCACCCGAGACUCAGUGAAAUUGAACUCGCUGUGAAGAUGCAGUGUACCCGCGGCAAGACGGAAAGACCCCGUGAACCUUUACUAUAGCUUGACACUGAACAUGGAGCCUUGAUGUGUAGGAUAGGUGGGAGGCUUUGAAGUGUGGACGCCAGUCUGCAUGGAGCCAUCCUUGAAAUACCACCCUUGAAUGUUUGAUGUUCUAACGUGGACCCGUUAUCCGGGUUGCGGACAGUGUCUGGUGGGUAGUUUGACUGGGGCGGUCUCCUCCCAAAGCGUAACGGAGGAGCACGAAGGUUGGCUAAUCACGGUCGGACAUCGUGAGGUUAGUGCAAAGGCAUAAGCCAGCUUGACUGCGAGCGUGACGGCGCGAGCAGGUACGAAAGUAGGUCUUAGUGAUCCGGUGGUUCUGUAUGGAAGGGCCAUCGCUCAACGGAUAAAAGGUACUCCGGGGAUAACAGGCUGAUACCGCCCAAGAGUUCAUAUCGACGGCGGUGUUUGGCACCUCGAUGUCGGCUCAUCACAUCCUGGGGCUGAAGUAGGUCCCAAGGGUACGGCUGUUCGCCGUUUAAAGUGGUACGCGAGCUGGGUUUAGAACGUCGUGAGACAGUUCGGUCCCUAUCUGCCGUGGGCGCUGGAAGAUUGAAAGGGGCUGCUCCUAGUACGAGAGGACCGGAGUGGACGCACCGCUGGUGUUCGGGUUGUCAUGCCAAUGGCAUUGCCCGGUAGCUACGUGCGGCAGAGAUAACCGCUGAAAGCAUCUAAGCGGGAAACUUGCCUUAAGAUGAGUCUUCCCUUGUCCCAGAGAGGACACAUAAGGAACGUUCGAGACGAGGACGUGGAUAGGCCGGGUGUGUAAGCGUAGCGAUACGUUGAGCUAACCGGUACUAAUGCUCCGAGAGGCUUAACCUG